This 250-nucleotide ribosomal RNA is filed under the name uncultured bacterium. RNAcentral's name for it is "partial 16S ribosomal RNA". It matches the Rfam family "Bacterial small subunit ribosomal RNA", at positions 524 to 773 of the family's 1533-position model. The record is from RNAcentral.
UACGUAGGGUGCAAGCGUUAAUCGGAAUUACUGGGCGUAAAGCGUGCGCAGGCGGUUUUAUAAGACAGAGGUGAAAUCCCCGGGCUCAACCUGGGAACUGCCUUUGUGACUGUAAGGCUAGAGUGUGUCAGAGGGGGGUAGAAUUCCACGUGUAGCAGUGAAAUGCGUAGAUAUGUGGAGGAAUACCGAUGGCGAAGGCAGCCCCCUGGGAUAACACUGACGCUCAUGCACGAAAGCGUGGGGAGCAAAC